Molecule: long non-coding RNA, 251 nt
Filed under: Spirodela polyrhiza (greater duckweed)
Lineage: Eukaryota; Viridiplantae; Streptophyta; Magnoliopsida; Alismatales; Araceae
Description: long non-coding RNA (SPOL_LNC001306)
Source: RNAcentral
CCGGGUUCUUAUCCUCAUCAUGAAAAUCUCUUCAUCAGCUACCCGUGUGAUGGUCGAUCCCAGUCGUCGUCGUCGUCGCCGUCUCUCAGCUUUGAUUCUGAGCUUCCUUGCACGUCUCCGCCCCUAAAUUCCGUCCAUCUUGCAGGGUUUAUGCUACUUCGCUGCCGAUACGGUCUUCCUGUCACAACUCCAUACGGCCUGCGAGCUCGUCGUUCGUCGAGAAUGGGCUAUAUGGGCCAGGCCAGUUUAAU